Small nuclear RNA from Rattus rattus (black rat), 107 nucleotides. NCBI's taxonomy places the organism in Eukaryota, Metazoa, Chordata, Mammalia, Rodentia, Muridae. The record is from RefSeq and is a predicted model, not a curated record.
GUGCUCACUUUGGCAGCACAUAUACUAAAAUUGGAAUGAUGCAGACAAGACUAGGUAGCCCUCUUAGAAAGGUUGACAUGCAAAUUCUUGAAGCGUUCCAUAGGUUU